RNAcentral lists this microRNA precursor (63 nucleotides) under Pelobates cultripes (western spadefoot toad). The record is from RNAcentral. Lineage: Eukaryota; Metazoa; Chordata; Amphibia; Anura; Pelobatidae.
ACCCUCCCACCUCCUGGACAGCAUCCAUUUUGAAAAUGGAUGCUGUCCAGGAGGUGGGAGGGU